This is a non-coding RNA of Misgurnus anguillicaudatus (oriental weatherfish), 2662 nucleotides long. Lineage: Eukaryota; Metazoa; Chordata; Actinopteri; Cypriniformes; Cobitidae. The record is from RefSeq and is a predicted model, not a curated record.
UAAGCUAUCUUAUACAAAUAAUGUAAUAUUAUUGUAUUUAUAUAUUGAUUUAAAAUGUAAAGUAAAAUUCAGAAGACUUAAACAAAGUCCUAAAAACAAUCAAACAACUAAAUUAGUGCAAGUAGAGCUGAUUUAUUUAUCAAAACACAAUAUAAUCAUCUUCAUUAAAGUAUUUUGUAUAUUCGAAUUAAUUUAUAAAUGUAAGUGUUUAAAAAUUAGAGAUAGGUUUUGCCGGUUGUUGAUGAGUGAUGAAUACCAGCUGUGAAUUUUCUCAACGCGUGUAAGCAGCCAUGACACAGGAAACCGAAAUAGUGUUCCAAUAUAAAGUGAGGGUCCUUGACAGUGGCCGAACCCGCAUACUACACGAUAUAAUGAUUCCCCACCUCGGGAGCUAUAGGGAACGAAUUGAGACACAGCCCUGGAUGUAAUCACGUCUGUGCUGAUCACGUGCCUGUACACAAACCCGCCGCAGCUCACUUGCAAAAGAUUAUCCGGUUAUUUAUUACACGUAUAGUAAACGUUUUUAAUGUUAUCAUGAAUCAAUGUUAUAGUUUUGUAUGUCACAUUAUUUUUUGAGAAGAGUCAUGACUCAACGCGGACCUUACACGCUGUUAAUUUGUGUGUGCAUAUGGCGGUACAGGCUCUUUUGCACUCUAUGACCAGCCAUCAUUAAAUCGAAAUACAGUAAAAAAAAAUGAGCGCGAAACCCUGACACUUUACAGAAAGGCACGGAUAUCCCCGCCCGAAGAAAAAAAGAGCACAGGACAAUGGUUGCAAGUUAAACAGCUGGUAAGUAAAAUGAGUAAUCCUGUGAUUUCUUAACAUAUUUAAUUUUUUAUUUGGUUAAAUAAUUUGAAACAACACGCAGUUAACGGUAAUUUACCUCACACGUUAGGACUGUUGUGACUAGAUAGGGAAAGCGCUUUGUGGUGAAAACUCUUUUUAAGACUCAACAACACUUUCGGUGCACGUUAUCAUAUAUAUUUAUUUUCCUUUUUAGAACAUUUCACCAUCUGCAAAGAACAUUUCACAAUCGACAUAUCAACAUAAACGGUCCUCUUUUUCGAGUUUGACUGCGUUUGGUACAGGUCACAACAACAACGGCAGAUGUAGAGACCACACUUUCCCUUGCUUCCACUCCACGGCUGAUCAUGCUUGGUCACAACAACAACGGCAGAUGUAGAGACCACGCUUUCCCUUGCUUCCAUUCCACGGCUGAUCAUGCUUGAGGAUCCAGAUCUACAAAACAAAAAAUGGAUGCUGCCGAUUGAAGGCUAAGUCCGCUUUCCUGCGAUUGACCUAACAUUUCUUCAGCAUUUGCUUUUCACUUUGGUUGCUACUACGUGCUCAACAUCGAGUACCAAGUGGAAGCAGCCACUACUUUGGAGUUUAUUCAGAGAUUUAUUGUGAGGAUCAGCCCCGACAACAGCAAGUGCUCCUCUAACUUCCAGGUGAGCAAAAGAAGUGGGAAGAUGGUGCAAAGGAGGAACUCUGGCCUGAACCAUCAUGUAUAUAUCCACCUUUAUUAAGGACUUUAUGAAUUAAGCAAAACUAUUAAGCAACUAAAGCAAAUACAUUCUACUCAACUCACCAGAGGUUUGUGAAGUUCUUUUUUUAUCUUAAAGGUUUCUUUUAGUUAAUUUGUCCAUGCACUGAUUUAUAAUAUUGUAAUAUGAAACUCCAGUGUAUACAUGUUACUACUGUUGCUUCUAAAAGCAAAAUAAGUCUAUGCAGGAGAGGUUUUGUUACGUUUUUUUUUUUUUAAUUAUUCUUAUAGACGGUUUCAUCGGACGCACAUGACACACGUCUGGAUCCGAACCUUACUUCCGGUUUCGCUUUUUUAAUGGUCUGACUAGUUGGUAAACUGAUUUCUUGAACAAAAGCCUCGUCGAAAAUAACAAAUGUUUUGGUUUCCGAGCUAAUCUAUGUGUUGUUUUUUUGCUUGUUAUAUAAAUAAAAUGCGUUUAAAGAACUUUGUUGUUUUUUAUUCUUAGCGGAGUUUAUCGGAAGUUCAUGCGGACCGCGACAGCCGUUUGUUUAUGUUGUUACUGAUGAAACCGUCUAUAGUUAUAACUGAAUUUGUACUAGUAUUAUUUGAUAAUACUGUGAAAUGAAACAGUGAGUAAAUGUAACAUUGGCUUUGAAAAAGCUGUUGCUGCAAGAAAUUACAAUUUACUCAGAAUAAUAUUUUGAAUGUAUAAGUUUUUGACAUUGCUUAUGACUACAUUUGAAUGUAUUGUUCAUGAAUUGAUGCUGUGAUAUGUGUGUGUAAAUGUUUUGUGUGUUACAGGAUAAAAGAUUUUAUUUUACUCAGGAAAGUAUUUUGUAUUUGAACAUUGUUAUUAUGACUGAGUUAGUUCAUGACUUGAUUUAAAAUUCUGUAAUAUGAUAUCUAUGAGUAAAUGUUAUUGCAGGUUUAAGAAAAACAGUUUGUGAUGCAAGCUGAAAGUUCAGUGUGCAAAAAUAUAAAAAAUCUGAUUUCAUGUUUUUGAAAAACUAAAUUAAAUUUUAAAAACAUGUUGUCAUUGCUUAUUUUUGUGAUUUACUUAGAGCUGUUUUAACACCUCCAUUUAAAUUUUGUGCAGUUUUGUAGUAAAUAGAAAUGGGAAAAUGAAUCACAGGAAAUUUUACGGUAAAAUACACAUUGUAAUAUAUACAUUGU